CGCCAAUAGGUGGAUCAUUUGGGAUUCUCUUGGUUAAUAGGAUGUUUGAAGGUCCAUUGGAAUCCCAAAUCGAACCACACGGGUGAGAUUAUCAAUAUUAGCAGUGUUCGAGCUGCAAAAUAUUAGUAUCAAAAACUUGCUUGGUCAACUUGCUCAUGUUGCAGUUAAAAUUAGUAAUUUUCAAUUUGUAAGAGACAAUGCUGUCAAUCUUAAACAAAAUCGAAAUCAUUGUUUAAUUAUAUUUUAUUAGUAUUAAGAAAGUUGCUUGUGUU
This 272-nucleotide long non-coding RNA is filed under the name Gossypium raimondii (Peruvian cotton). Its description in RNAcentral is "long non-coding RNA (GRAI_LNC002209)". The record is from RNAcentral. Lineage: Eukaryota; Viridiplantae; Streptophyta; Magnoliopsida; Malvales; Malvaceae.